RNAcentral lists this long non-coding RNA (2635 nucleotides) under Nicotiana tabacum (common tobacco). RNAcentral's name for it is "long non-coding RNA (NTAB_LNC016192)". The record is from RNAcentral. Lineage: Eukaryota; Viridiplantae; Streptophyta; Magnoliopsida; Solanales; Solanaceae.
UCCUCCAAAUAUCUAUUUCUAACAUAGCCCUAGCACCCUUUUCUUCCUUCAACGUCACCCCCACCCACCCACCCACCCCAAAACCCUAAAAAAUCCCCCUUUUUUUUUGUCCUGAGAAAAUUAUAUGGUACUGCAAAAUGUAAAUUUAGGGUAAUGAGUAUAGAGGAAGUGGGCAAAAAAGGGUGAUAAUUGUUGACAGAAGAUAGAGAGCACUGAUGAUGAUAUGCUAAUUAAAUUUGUGCAGCAAAAGCAUCUCAAUUCAUUUGUGCUCUCUAUGCUUCUGUCAUCACCUUCAGCCAACUAUCCCUCUCUUCUCUUAACUUCAUCUAAUUUUCCUCUUUUCAUUCGUCUGUUUUCUUGAAAUUUAUUUCACAUUUUGUAUAUGUAGUUAAUGUUGGUUCUUCAAGAAACAGCUUCUCUUACCCUCGGCAGAGGCAAAGUCUGCCCCUCCUCAGACUUCUCUUGUGAAAUUAUAGUGGGUUGUUAUUAUAUAUGUAUUUUAUGUAUAUAGUCAAAUUCUAGAUGUUUCUCAUCCCAUGACAUAUUUCUUUUAUCUGCUAGUAUAUAGGUUCUCAUUUUCCGGGGAUUUCUCUAAGAUGAAAGCAAAAAUUCUAUAAAAUGAAAGAUUUUGAAAUCUAUUUGCAUGAUUAAUUUACAUAAUUGGAGAUUCCUUUUGCGGCUGUCUCUUGCUUUGCAAACUUGUUAGAAGCAAAAUCUGAAAGUGAAAGUUAUUUCUCAUGAUUUACCAUAAUUCGAUUGUUUAUAUAUUUUUCUCUUUAUGUUUCACCAGAUUAUUGACUUUCUAACUGUUUGAUUAAUUCUUGAGUUCUAUACUUACUCUAUCUUGUGAGUUCACCUAUGCUUUUGCAGCUAUUGCUAGAUCCAAAGCUCCUCGCUUUGACAAGCACUCAAAGGACAUUUCUGAGGAAUGAGAUGUUAAUUAAGCUACCUUUACAUGUAAACCCUCUACUCUUUCUCUCAAUUUUGUAAUAAUUCAAGUUACAAUAUAUAUAUAUGUGUGUGUGUNNNNNNNNNNNNNNNNNNNNNNNNNUAUAGAGUAAUUAUAUGGUGGAACGAUUUCUAUGGCUCAUUGUGUGUUUGUAUUUUCUAACACUUGUUCCAGAGGUAUUCAGAGUGGCGGGUUAAGGAUCUUACUGGUUAUAUUUACGUAUAACUCACUCCUUACCUGCAUGUCUAUGCAAAUACUAUUGGUGAAGACAGAGCUAGUAGCUAACGAGUUCGCUAGAGUUAAUUUAGUUAUUGAGGUUAGCCGCCGCAUUAUUCGUGGAGGCUGCCAAAAGAGUCUUUAUUAUUUAUUCAUAUGAUAUCUUUUGUAAUUCUCUUAGAUGCUCCAUGGUUUAGUGUACGAUUUGGACUAGAGUUUCAGUGUAAUAUUUUGAGAUAUUAAUUGUUCAUAAUUAAUUAUCAGAUUAUUUGGAUACUCAUUUAAUUAAUCAAAUGCUACAAAUUAAUGGCUAAGAUAUAAAAGUAUGCUUCGCCUGACGGGUGGUGUUAGCUGGGUGCCAGUCACGUCUAGGGGUAGUUUCGGACGUGACAAAUUUCAAACAAAGCUGUGACUUAUAGAGUGGUUUAUUUAGCAAAAUAGAUGGGAAAAAGCUAACUGUUUGAACUUCCUUACCACUCAUAUAAUUGGAGCUAACACAGAAGCUGGUUUGAGUUCUUUACUAAUAUAAUUGGGAGCUAAAAUAGAAGCUGGUUGGAGUUCUUUUACUAAUAUAAUUGGAGCUGAAACAGAAGCUAGUUUGACAGAAAGCUUAUAUAAUAAAUGUUUAAUUCUUGGGCAAAAUAGAAGCUGGUUCUAGUUCUUUACCACACACGAAGGUGUCCCGUGAAGCUUAACUAGUUAUACUCUUGGGCAUAGUUUAUAUACAAAUUCCAUCCUUAAACCUGUGUUUUACUUUAGUUACUAUUGUUGCUUUUCAUUUUGUUGAGCCGAGAGUCUAAUGGAAACAAUCUCUUUAUCUGUGCAAGAUAGGGUAAGGUCUGUGUGCACUCUACACCUCUCCAAGUCUCUUUUUUCAUUUUAUUGGGAUAAAAGAUAGGUUAGUUGUUUUAUUUCUCAUCAUUCUAAUCAACACUAAGGGGUCGUUUGGUAGGAUACAUUAGGUAAAAUAAUGCAUGCAUUAACUUUGUGUAUUAAUAAUGCUUUGUUUGGUAAACUUUUUGAACUUAUGCAUUAGUUAUGCAAGCAUUAGUUAUACACCUUAUUUGGUAUUAUUCUAUGCAUAACUAAUGCAUAAGAAACUAUGGUAUUAACAAUGCAAUGGGUUUUAAUGCAUGCAUUAACUUAGUUAAAGACAAAAAUGUCCUUCAAAAUUUAUACUUGAUUAAAAUAUGCUAUUAUAUAAUGCAAUUUUGAAAUAAUCCAAGAAAGUGAGAAAUAAAAUUAUAUCCCUAGUAAAUAAAUAAAUACUUAGCAUAUUCUAUUUUAUAAAUAAAUAUUAAAGUUCUAUACUACAAUAUAGCUAGACAAAUCAAAUAAUUUGUUUAAACCCUUUUCAUACACUAACAUUCCUCAACAUAUGUUUCUUUAAAAAAGAUGUGGUGUGGACUGGUUAUGAGGGUAUUUUUGUAAACAAAUAAUUCUUUUAGAAAUUGUGCAAUGCUUUAGUAN